CCUUCGGGUUAGUGGCGGACGGGUGAGUAACGCGUGGGAAUCUGCCCUCAGGAGGGGGAUAACGGUUGGAAACGACCGCUAAUACCCCAUAUGCCGAGAGGUGAAAUGAAUUUCGCCUGAGGAUGAGCCCGCGUCUGAUUAGCUUGUUGGUGAGGUAAUGGCUCACCAAGGCAUCGAUCAGUAGCUGGUCUGAGAGGAUGAUCAGCCACACUGGGACUGAGACACGGCCCAGACUCCUACGGGAGGCAGCAGUGGGGAAUUUUCCGCAAUGGGCGAAAGCCUGACGGAGCAACGCCGCGUGAGGGAUGAAGGCCUCUGGGCUGUAAACCUCUUUUAUCAAGGAAGAAGAUCUGACGGUACUUGAUGAAUAAGCCACGGCUAAUUCCGUGCCAGCAGCCGCGGUAAUACGGGAGUGGCAAGCGUUAUCCGGAAUUAUUGGGCGUAAAGCGUCCGCAGGCG
RNAcentral lists this ribosomal RNA (459 nucleotides) under uncultured cyanobacterium. RNAcentral describes it as "bacterial SSU rRNA". It matches the Rfam family "Bacterial small subunit ribosomal RNA", at positions 84 to 577 of the family's 1533-position model. Lineage: Bacteria; Bacillati; Cyanobacteriota. The record is from RNAcentral.